Molecule: ribosomal RNA, 479 nt
Filed under: uncultured Pantoea sp.
Lineage: Bacteria; Pseudomonadati; Pseudomonadota; Gammaproteobacteria; Enterobacterales; Erwiniaceae
Description: bacterial SSU rRNA
Rfam family: Bacterial small subunit ribosomal RNA
Source: RNAcentral
UCGGACGGUAGCACAGAGAGCUUGCUCUCGGGUGACGAGUGGCGGACGGGUGAGUAAUGUCUGGGGAUCUGCCCGAUAGAGGGGGAUAACCACUGGAAACGGUGGCUAAUACCGCAUAACGUCGCAAGACCAAAGAGGGGGACCUUCGGGCCUCUCACUAUCGGAUGAACCCAGAUGGGAUUAGCUAGUAGGCGGGGUAAUGGCCCACCUAGGCGACGAUCCCUAGCUGGUCUGAGAGGAUGACCAGCCACACUGGAACUGAGACACGGUCCAGACUCCUACGGGAGGCAGCAGUGGGGAAUAUUGCACAAUGGGCGCAAGCCUGAUGCAGCCAUGCCGCGUGUAUGAAGAAGGCCCUCGAUGCGGUUGUAAAGUACUUUCAGCGGGAAGGCGGUGAGGUUAAUAACCUUGCCGAUUGACGUUACCCGCAGAAGAAGCACCGGGUAACUCCGUGCCAGCAGCCGCGGUAAUACGGAGGG